Apis cerana (Asiatic honeybee) is the source of this 1553-nucleotide long non-coding RNA. RefSeq lists it as uncharacterized. The record is from RefSeq and is a predicted model, not a curated record. Lineage: Eukaryota; Metazoa; Arthropoda; Insecta; Hymenoptera; Apidae.
CGAACGAAAAGUUAUCUUACGAAAUACGGUUCGUAAGAGAAAAUGAAAUACUUUUUUUUUCGAAUCUAUAUUAUUAUAUCCUCGCGAGUGGAUAUAAAGAAAGAGCUGGGAGGUGCAAAGAUAUUUGUACAGGUUAGAAAAUGGAAAGAUCGUUUUAAUCGUGUUCCUCUUCCUACGAAUAAUUUCCUUGAAUCGGUUUUCGCGAGAACAGGCGCAUGCUCGCGCACACGGUCCAUUCACUAACGUAACGCUUUACAACUGUUUCCGCCCCCACUCCCGGCCGGAAGUCCCGUUUCAUUCAUGGAUCGGUCACAAUGGUGGUUUUACGCGGCUAUUGAGGACGCCUGCCUCCCGCCACGCCCCUGCUGCUUCUCCCUCUCCACCUCGUUCUCACUCCCUCCCGCCCCUUUCGUUCCCUUACCUUUCCCUCUUUUUCUUUCCUCUCUCUCUUCUUCCUUCUCGUAUUCGUCCGCUGCACGCUCUCCCUUUCUCUCUCUCACCCGUUCAUCCCAGCUUUUCACUUCUCUUUCGCACGCGCGCACGCACACCGCGCAGCUCUUCCACCGUACAAUUCUUUCCCUCUCUCUCUCGUUCCCAUUCAUGUUUCAUAGCUUUGUCCUCGUCCACCGUUCUCCCAUACGCCUCGCACCCUUUGUAACUAACCGUGCAACGUUGCACGAACGGCAAAGGGUCCUUCUCGUGAAACCUUUGCGCACGUUUUCCUAUAUUGCCUGACGAUCGACGACGAGUUCGAUACCUCAACACGAAAAAUUCGGAACGGAGAAUUCGAGAAGGAAAGAAACGUGGAAGCCGGGAAGGUCGAAUUCAUAAAAUUGUCGCCCGACAAAUCAUCGUGGGAACAAGGUGAUUCCGGGGAAUCGAUUCUACGAAGCAAACGGUAACGACGACUUCCGCUCGCCUUGGGAGCACACAAAGAUGCCGAAGCCAGACCAUGCUGUGCACGUAUAGUGCUCGCACGGUUGUUGAAUACGCGUGCGCGGCCGGAAAGUUCGUAUAGAGAUAGAGGAAACGAAAUUGAUGCUAUUAAACACGGGAAUUUUUGCUACGAUACUCAUCCUCGGCGAUCAACUUUCUCGGAAAAUCCUUUUUUUUUUUUUAAUAAUUGUGAUAUUUUUCAUCCAAUUGUACUAAUUAUCUUGAAAUAUUUCUGACGGAAAAUAUUAUUAAGAAUCAUUUUUACGAAUUGAUUUACGAAUUGAAGGGGACGCGAUAAUUUGACAAUCGAUUACGGAAAAAUAUAUUUUUGAAAAGAAUAUGUUUAAUCAUUCAAUAAAAAUUAUGUAAUAAAUUUCUAAAUUUCAUAUAGAAUACGAAGUUAGAAAUUUAAUUAUUACUUUCUAUCAUUCACGAGAAUAGAUGUAAAAAGAUGGGAAAAAAGUUAAAAAAUUAUAUAUUACUGCGCGAACACUCCCCCAAAAUGUUUCUUCAUUUAUAGAUUCCUUUUUACAAUACUUAUUUAAUUUAUUAAUAAUUAUUCACGCGAUAAUAAUAUUCGAGGAGCAGAGAGAAACGCGACCGUCCUGCUCGGCGUC